CUAGGGUUUCAGUGAAUCUGAGCUCCUGGCUUUCAGGUCUAGGAUUUUCCUCAGUGCCCCCUUCUGGGGCAUGCUGUCCAGCUCUAUUUGUGCGUGGGUCCCAGGGACUCAAACCCCCUCCUGCUUGUCUGCUCUGUCACCAUCACCCGGGAGCCAUCACCAGUCCACUGUCCUUCAAAAGAUGGAUGGCCAGGACUUGUGGGGUUUCCCUGCUGGGUCCCUGCUAUGAGACAGAAACCAAGGGGGCUUCCCCUUCCCACAUCGCAACUCCUAAGCUCUGCCUGGGCACUGCCCAUCAGGGCUGCCUGAAGGACCGAGUGCCAGGAACAAGGAGCGGCUGCUCUGGGAGCUGAUCAGAGGUUCGCUGGGGGAGAAGAAGGAAACCAGCCUGGAGCAUCCUGGUCAGACGGGUUUCCUUGCAGCGCCCCCUAGCGGUAGAAGCUCCUUCCUCCAUUUCCCAAGCAGCUGGGGCUCCGUGGUGCAGGACUGGGGACGUAAAUCUCAAGGAUGGUCCUGUCUCCUGAUAAACACCUUUGUUACUCUAUGUCUAGGAAGACUGUCCCACUCCAUUUCUGCCUGCCUGAACACCCUGUGUACAACCCUAAAAUAAAUCUACAUGUGGGUCU
Molecule: long non-coding RNA, 626 nt
Organism: Marmota flaviventris (yellow-bellied marmot)
Lineage: Eukaryota; Metazoa; Chordata; Mammalia; Rodentia; Sciuridae
Source: RefSeq, a predicted model, not a curated record